GUAGUGUCUUCCAGAAAUACUCUCACAGGCACACCCAGGACAAAUGUUCUACCAGCUAUCUGGGCGUUGCUUAGGCCAGUCAAGUUGACACAUAAAAUUAACCAACGAAGUAAUUCUAACAAAGAUUUAUAACCAGAUUACACUCUUCUGAAGCUAAAGAACUGCUAAUGGAGAUAGCAGUCAUCAGUUACUGUGAUAGUUAAUGUUGAGUGUCAACUUGAUUGGAUUGAAAAAUGUGAAGUAUUGUUUCUGGGUGUGUCAGUGAGGGUGCUGCCAAAAGAGAUUAACAUUUGAGUUAGUGGACUAAGAAAGGCAGACCCACUCUCAAUCUGGGUGGGCACCAUCUAAUCGGCUGCCAACAUGGCUAGGAUAAAAGCAGGCAGAGGAAUGUGGAAGGACUAAACUGGCAGAAUCUUCUGGCCUCCAUCUUUCCCCUGUGCUGGAUGCUUCCUGCCCUCAAACAUCGGACUCCCAAGUUCUUCAGCUUUUGGACUCUUGGACUUACAUCACUGAUUUGCCAGGGGCUCUGAGGCCUUUGGCCACAGGCUGAAGGCUGCACUAUCAGCUUCCCUACUUUUAAAGUUUUGGGACUUGGAAUUGCUUCCUGGCUCCUCAGCUUGCAGACAGCCUAUUGUGGGACUUCACCUUAUGAUCAUGUCUCAGCAGGACAGCUUAUCUCUGCUCCAUGUGGCCUAACUGGGGUUGGAUGACCCACCUCCAAGAUGGCUUACUUUCAUGAAUGGCCUUCAAUGGAUUGCACGAAGCCCAACCAUACUGGGGAAGGCAAUCUACUUCACUCAGUCUACACAAUAACUCCCUUCUUUUUCUGCUGAUUCAGAGGAAGCUAACUCUACAGCAGAAGCAGUGAGUCACAAGGACAAGAACCAAAUGAUAUGGACGACCCCAUCACAACAACUCAAGCUGGUGUAAACAUUCUCACAUGGCAUGAGAAUGAAACAUAAUGCAGUGCUCCCUCUCCCCAGACCUGGGUCACAUUCCUCUAUGGAUUAAAUGCAAUAGCAGUUAGGUUUUAAUUGCAUUCCUUUGAGCAAUGUCAUUUAUUUUACCUGUUGUUUACCAUUAAAUUUAUGUCCUGGAAGAUGUUGAUAAAACUACAAGAAGGAAAGUAUCCUUUUGCUAUGGUUUGAAUAGCAAACCAAAAUUUGUGUUGAAAUUUUAUCCCAAAUGUGGCAGAGAAUUAGUCCAUUCUCAUGCUGCUAAUAAGGACAUACCCAAGACUCGGUAAUUGAUAAAGGAAAGAUGUUUAAUUGACUCACAGUUCAGCAUGGUUGGGGAGGCCUCAGAAAACUUACAAUCAUGGUGGAAGGGGAACCAAACACGUCCUCCUUCACAUGGUGGCAAGAGAGACAAGUGCAGAGAAAAGGAGGGGAAAGCCCCUUAUAAAAUCAUCAACUCUCAUGAGAACUCACUCACUAUCAUCAGAACAGCAUGGAGGUAACCGCCCCCAUGAUUCAAUUACCUCCCACUAAGUCCUUCCCAUGACCCAUGGGGAUUAUAGGAUACCUGAGAACUUUGACAUGUUUCUGACAUGCCCUGAAAACAGCUGCCACAUUGCCUCAGUGAUUAACAUUCGGCUCCUCAUCACAUAUGCAAAUUUCAGCAGCCGGCUUGAAUUUCUCCCAAGAAAAUGGGUUUUUCUUUUCUGUCACAUAAUCAGGCUGCAAAUUUUCCAAACUUUUAUGCUCUGCUUCCUCUUGAACACCUUGCCACUUAGAAAUUGCUUCUGUCAGAUUCCCUAAAUCAUCUCUCUCAAGUUUAAAGUUUCACAGAUCUCUAGGGCAGGGGCAAAAUGCCGCCAGUCUCUUUGCAUAGCAAGAGUGACAUUUACUCCAGUUUCCAACAAGUUCCUCAUCUCCAUCUGAGACCACCUCAGCCUGGACUUUAUUGCCCAUAUCACUAUCAGCAUUUUAGUCAAAGCCAUUCGACAAGUCUCUAGGAAGUUCCAAACUUUCCCACUUCUUCCUGCCUUCUUAGCCCUCCAAGUCUCUAAGAGUUUCCAAACUUUCCCACAUUUUCCUGUCUUCUGAGCCCUCCAAAUGGUUUCAACCUCUGCCUGUUACCCAGUUCCAAAGUUACUUCCACAUUUUCAGGUACCUUUACAGCAGCGCCCCACUCUCUGUGGUACCAAUUUACUGUAUUAGUCCCUUCUCCCACCUCUAUAAGGACAUAUCUGAGACUGGGUAAUUUAUAAAGGAAGGAGGUUUAAUUGACUCACAGUUCCACAGGGCGGGGGAGGCCUCAAGAAACUUACAAUCAUGGUGGAAGGGGAAGCAAACACGUCCUUCUUCACAUGGCAGCAGGAGAUGUGCAGAGAGAAGUGGGGGAAAGCCCCUUCUAAAACCAUCAGAUCUCAUGAGAUCUCAUCAGAUCUCAUAAGAACUCACUCAAUAUCAUAAGAACAUGAUAUGGAGGUAACCGCUGCCAUGAUUCAAUUACCUCCCAUGGGGUUUUUUCCAUGACAUGCAGGGAUUAUGGGAGCUACAAUUCAGUAUGAGAUUUAGGUGCGGACACAGCCAAAACCAUAUCAGGCAGUAUUGAGAAGUGAAGCAUUUAAGAGGUGAUUGGGUCAUGAGGGCUCUGCCCUCAUGAAUGACUUAGUCUAUUCACAGAUUAAUGAAAUAGUGAGUUAUCAUUGGAAGGGAACUGUGGCUAUAUAGGAAAAGGAAGAAAAACCUAAGCUAGCAUGUUAGCGCACUCAGCCCCCUUGCCACGUGAUGCUCUGCACUGCCUCAGGACUCUGCAGCAUCCCCAUUAGCAAGAAAAUGUGGCAUAUAUACACCACGG
Molecule: long non-coding RNA, 2805 nt
Filed under: Homo sapiens (human)
Lineage: Eukaryota; Metazoa; Chordata; Mammalia; Primates; Hominidae
Description: HSALNT0194072
Source: RNAcentral